RNAcentral lists this ribosomal RNA (913 nucleotides) under Aspergillus alabamensis. Its description in RNAcentral is "LSU rRNA". It matches the Rfam family "Eukaryotic large subunit ribosomal RNA", at positions 36 to 964 of the family's 3401-position model. Lineage: Eukaryota; Fungi; Ascomycota; Eurotiomycetes; Eurotiales; Aspergillaceae. The record is from RNAcentral.
UAGCAUAUCAAUAAGCGGAGGAAAAGAAACCAACCGGGAUUGCCUCAGUAACGGCGAGUGAAGCGGCAAGAGCUCAAAUUUGAAAGCUGGCUCCUUCGGGGUCCGCAUUGUAAUUUGCAGAGGAUGCUUCGGGUGCAGCCCCCGUCUAAGUGCCCUGGAACGGGCCGUCAUAGAGGGUGAGAAUCCCGUAUGGGGCGGGGUGUCUGCGUCCGUGUGAAGCUCCUUCGACGAGUCGAGUUGUUUGGGAAUGCAGCUCUAAAUGGGUGGUAAAUUUCAUCUAAAGCUAAAUACUGGCCGGAGACCGAUAGCGCACAAGUAGAGUGAUCGAAAGAUGAAAAGCACUUUGAAAAGAGAGUUAAACAGCACGUGAAAUUGUUGAAAGGGAAGCGCUUGCAACCAGACUCGCUCGCGGGGUUCAGCCGGGCUUCGGCCCGGUGUACUUCCCCGCGGGCGGGCCAGCGUCGGUUUGGGCGGCCGGUCAAAGGCCUCCGGAAUGUAGCGCCCUUCGGGGCGCCUUAUAGCCGGGGGUGCAAUGCGGCCAGCCUGGACCGAGGAACGCGCUUCGGCACGGACGCUGGCAUAAUGGUUGUAAACGACCCGUCUUGAAACACGGACCAAGGAGUCUAACAUCUACGCGAGUGUUCGGGUGUCAAACCCGUACGCGCAGUGAAAGCGAACGGAGGUGGGAGCCCCCUCGCGGGGCGCACCAUCGACCGAUCCUGAUGUCUUCGGAUGGAUUUGAGUACGAGCGUAGCUGUGGGGACCCGAAAGAUGGUGAACUAUGCCUGAAUAGGGCGAAGCCAGAGGAAACUCUGGUGGAGGCUCGCAGCGGUUCUGACGUGCAAAUCGAUCGUCAAAUUUGGGUAUAGGGGCGAAAGACUAAUCGAACCAUCUGGUAGCUGGUUCCUGCCAA